RNAcentral lists this transfer RNA (68 nucleotides) under Empria sp. Its description in RNAcentral is "tRNA-Pro". Lineage: Eukaryota; Metazoa; Arthropoda; Insecta; Hymenoptera; Tenthredinidae. The record is from RNAcentral.
CAGAAAAUAGUUUAAUUUAAAAUGUUAAUUUUGGAGAUUAAUGAUAAAUUUUUAAUAUUUUUUUCUGA